Molecule: ribosomal RNA, 303 nt
Filed under: uncultured bacterium
Lineage: Bacteria
Description: partial 16S ribosomal RNA
Rfam family: Bacterial small subunit ribosomal RNA
Source: RNAcentral
AGCAGUCGCCGCGGUAAAACGGAGGAUCCAAGCGUUAUCCGGAAUCAUUGGGUUUAAAGGGUCCGUAGGCGGUCUUGUAAGUCAGUGGUGAAAGCCCAUCGCUCAACGGUGGAACGGCCAUUGAUACUGCAGGACUUGAAUUAUUGGGAAGUAACUAGAAUAUGUAGUGUAGCGGUGAAAUGCUUAGAGAUUACAUGGAAUACCAAUUGCGAAGGCAGGUUACUACCAAUUGAUUGACGCUGAUGGACGAAAGCGUGGGUAGCGAACAGGAUUAGAUACCCGCGUAGUCCCUGUCUCUUAUAA